CCUACGGGUGGCUGCAGUGGGGAAUAUUGGACAAUGGGGGCAACCCUGAUCCAGCCAUGCCGCGUGUGUGAAGAAGGCCCUCGGGUUGUAAAGCACUUUCAGUGAGGAAGAACGCCUGGUGGUUAAUACCCAUCAGGAAAGACAUCACUCACAGAAGAAGCACCGGCUAACUCCGUGCCAGCAGCCGCGGUAAUACGGAGGGUGCGAGCGGUAAUCGGAAUUACUGGGCGUAAAGCGCGCGUAGGUGGCUUGAUAAGCCGGUUGUGAAAGCCCCGGGCUCAACCUGGGAACGGCAUCCGGAACUGUCAAGCUAGAGUGCAGGAGAGGAAGGUAGAAUUCCCGGUGUAGCGGUGAAAUGCGUAGAGAUCGGGAGGAAUACCAGUGGCGAAGGCGGCCUUCUGGACUGACACUGACACUGAGGUGCGAAAGCGUGGGUAGCAAACAGGAUUAGAUACCCUGGUAGUC
RNAcentral lists this ribosomal RNA (465 nucleotides) under Vreelandella stevensii. RNAcentral's name for it is "partial 16S ribosomal RNA". It matches the Rfam family "Bacterial small subunit ribosomal RNA", at positions 338 to 795 of the family's 1533-position model. Lineage: Bacteria; Pseudomonadati; Pseudomonadota; Gammaproteobacteria; Oceanospirillales; Halomonadaceae. The record is from RNAcentral.